AGUAUUCGUGCCAAUGUCAAUAAAGAGCAGCUCUGACAGCAGCUUUGAGUAUCAGCAUAGAUGCAGAAUGCUGAAUAUUACCUGUGUUAUCAAUUGGUAACACCUUCCACGAGCAAGAUGUCUCUGCAGAAAGCUGAGGCUUUUAUGAGCAUCGUCAUUUCCUGUCAGGUUUGACAUGGUUGGGUUUGAAUGGGUUUGAGGUUUUUGCUGUUUAAAUUUGUGAUAACAGAAGUGAGCAUCUUCUGAGGGAUGGGUGCUGAAAAGUGUGCUGUGUUCAAACAGCAAUGUUUUCAUUCUGAUGUUUCUUCUCUUUUCUGAGCCCUGUAGAGGAUAAGAAUUAAGCAACGGGGUGAUUCGGCACAUUUUUCGGUACUAAAACAGUGCAGGUUCAGCUCAGAGACAGAGACUUAUUACAAUGCUAAAUAUCUUUCUCUUUUAAAGCUCUGUGGUUGAGAAGCUUGCUGCAGUCACCACGGCCUUCGGAUGCCCCAAGGGCACGGGCAGAGAGGAAUGAGGGCGGCGAGAGCGCAGGCAGCUGUGAGCACACUGCAAUGUCAUGCUGAUUUCCACACGUGGAUUUGUGUCCCUCGUACCUUCAGAAGUCCUUCAUGGCUCUCCACUCACACUGGGGGUAGAAUGGUUUUGCUGUUCCCGUUUUCCAGAUAAAAUUUC
RNAcentral lists this long non-coding RNA (672 nucleotides) under Numida meleagris (helmeted guineafowl). Its description in RNAcentral is "lncRNA (ENSNMEG00000020901.1)". The record is from RNAcentral. Lineage: Eukaryota; Metazoa; Chordata; Aves; Galliformes; Numididae.